GACGAACGCUGGCGGCGUGCUUAACACAUGCAAGUCGAACGGAAAGGCCCUGCUUUUGUGGGGUGCUCGAGUGGCGAACGGGUGAGUAACACGUGAGUAACCUGCCCUUGACUUUGGGAUAACUUCAGGAAACUGGGGCUAAUACCGGAUAGGAGCUCCUGCUGCAUGGUGGGGGUUGGAAAGUUUCGGCGGUUGGGGAUGGACUCGCGGCUUAUCAGCUUGUUGGUGGGGUAGUGGCUUACCAAGGCUUUGACGGGUAGCCGGCCUGAGAGGGUGACCGGCCACAUUGGGACUGGGAUACUGCCCAGAAUCCUACGGGGGGCAGCAGUGGGGAUUAUUGCACAAUGGGCGGAAGCCUGAUGCAGCAACGCCGCGAGCGGGAUAGCGGCCUUCGGGUUGUAAACCGCUUUCGCCUGUGACGAAGCGUGAGUGACGGUAAUGGGUAAAGAAGCACCGGCUAACUACGUG
This 468-nucleotide ribosomal RNA is filed under the name uncultured bacterium. RNAcentral's name for it is "partial 16S ribosomal RNA". It matches the Rfam family "Bacterial small subunit ribosomal RNA", at positions 28 to 507 of the family's 1533-position model. The record is from RNAcentral.